UACGAAGGGGGCUAGCGUUGCUCGGAAUUACUGGGCGUAAAGCGCACGUAGGCGGCUUGGCAAGUCGGAUGUGAAAUCCCUCGGCUCAACCAAGGAAGUGCAUCCGAAACUGCUGAGCUUGAGUACUUAAGAGGAUCGCGGAAUUCCCGGUGUAGAGGUGAAAUUCGUAGAUAUCGGGAGGAACACCAGUGGCGAAGGCGGCGAUCUGGGAAGAUACUGACGCUGAGGUGCGAAAGCGUGGGGAGCAAACAGG
RNAcentral lists this ribosomal RNA (253 nucleotides) under uncultured bacterium. RNAcentral describes it as "partial 16S ribosomal RNA". It matches the Rfam family "Bacterial small subunit ribosomal RNA", at positions 524 to 776 of the family's 1533-position model. The record is from RNAcentral.